AGCGAACGCUGGCGGCAGGCCUAACACAUGCAAGUCGAACGGGCACCUUCGGGUGUCAGUGGCAGACGGGUGAGUAACACGUGGGAACGUGCCCUUUGGUUCGGAACAACUCCGGGAAACUGGAGCUAAUACCGGAUAAGCCCUUCGGGGAAGGAUUAUCGCCAAAGGAUCGGCCCGCGUCUGAUUAGCUUGUUGGUGAGGUAAUGGCUCACCAAGGCGACGAUCAGUAGCUGGUCUGAGAGGAUGAUCAGCCACACUGGGACUGAGACACGGCCCAGACUCCUACGGGAGGCAGCAGUGGGGAAUAUUGGACAAUGGGCGCAAGCCUGAUCCAGCCAUGCCGCGUGGAUGAUGAAGGCCUUAGGGUU
Molecule: ribosomal RNA, 368 nt
Filed under: uncultured bacterium
Lineage: Bacteria
Description: bacterial SSU rRNA
Rfam family: Bacterial small subunit ribosomal RNA
Source: RNAcentral